RNAcentral lists this ribosomal RNA (497 nucleotides) under uncultured bacterium. RNAcentral's name for it is "partial 16S ribosomal RNA". It matches the Rfam family "Bacterial small subunit ribosomal RNA", at positions 28 to 507 of the family's 1533-position model. The record is from RNAcentral.
GAUGAACGCUGGCGGCGUGCCUAAUACAUGCAAGUCGAGCGAACGGACGAGAAGCUUGCUUCUCUGACGUUGGCGGCGGACGGGUGAGUAACAUGUGGAUAACCUACCUAUAAGACUGGGAUCACUUCGGGAAACCGGAGCUAAUACCGGAUAAUAUUUUGAACCGCAUGGUUCAAAAGUGAAAGACGGUCUUGCUGUCACUUAUAGCUGGAUCCGCGCUGCAUUAGCUAGUUGGUAAGGUAACGGCUUACCAAGGCAACGAUGCAUAGCCGACCUGAGAGGGGGAUCGGCCACACUGGAACGGGAACACGGACCAGACUCCUACGGGAGGGAGCAGUAGGGAAUCUUCCGCAAUGGGCGAAAGCCUGACGGAGCAACGCCGCGUGAGUGAUAAAGGUCUUCGGAGCGUAAAACUCUGUUAUUAGGGAAGAACAGAUGUGUAAGUAACUGUGCACAGCGUGACGGUACCGAAUCAGAAAGCCACGGCUAACUACGUG